GAAAUUCAUUUCACGUAGUGAGAAAGCCAGAGGUAGGAGAUCCCAGGUUCCGCAGCUUGACAACUCGUACUUCCUCCAUCCUUCAUGCAUUGUAGAAUAGCAGCCUCCAAAGAUGUCCGUGCCCACAUCCCUGGAAACUGUGAAGAUGAAGAAUCACAGUUAAUUACAGGAAAGAGCCUCAUUUUUUUAAAAAUUUGAGAUGGGGUCUCCCUAUAUUGACCAGGCUGGUCUUGAACUCCUGGCCUCAAGCGAUCCUCCCACCUCGGCCUCCCAAAGUGCUAGGAUUGCAGGCGUGAGUAAUGGGGCCCGGCUGAGCCUCACUUUUUUUUUUUUUUUUUUUUGAGACAGAGUCUCGCUCUGUCACCCAGGCUGGAGUGCAGUGGUGCGAUCUCAGCUCACUGCAAGCUCCAUCUCCCGGGUUCACGCCAUUCUCCUGCCUCAGCCUCCCGAGUAGCUGGAACUACAGGCGCCCGCCACCACGCCCGGCUAAUUUUUUGUAUUUUUAAUAGAGACGGGGUUUCACCGUGUUAGCCAGGAUGGUCUCGAUCUCCUGACCUCGUUAUCCGCCCACCUCGUCCUCCCAAAGUGCUGGGAUUACAGGCUUGAGCCACCGCGCCUGGCUGAGCCUCACUUUUUUAUUGUAAACUUUUGUCUGCAUUUUUUCCAACAAAUGGAUUCAUUGCUGUGUGUUACUUGUCAUGGCCCAUUGUAAACAAAAUGCUUAUAUUAUGGCAUAUAAACUGUUACUUGCUACUGCCUACAAAUCAGAUGAAUAAGUAACAGCACAUUCACUAUGUGGAGGUCAGGAAAUGAUGGUUUAAGCAUUUCACAUCCUGACAUAAUAGUUUAUUAUGUAUAUGUGGACAUUUCACUGUGUUGUAGUUAUAUAUUAGGAAAUUGGUUGGGGUUAUGGUUGCCAUGCACUGUAAUAUAACUUUUUUUCAAUUUACAAACAAUGAUAAGAAAAUUUUUAGUGGUUUUUCACAGAAUAUCUGACUUUCAGGAACAGAUUAAUGAUGUUAAGUGGGAAAUGUUGGGAUCAUCCAAAUUCACCCCUGAUCCCCACCCACCGGCAUCACUCCCAUUCUAGUCUAAGCCUUGACUGUCACGGUUGCCUCCUAAAAGGGUCUUUCUGCUUCCAUUCCUGCCAUCCUUCCUCCAACCUCUCCUCCACAAAGCCAACAGAGAGACUUUUAAAAAAAUCGUGGUAAAAUUUAUAUAAUAUAGACUUUACCAUCUUCACCGCUUUUUUUUUUUUUUUUUUUUUUUGAGACAGAGUCUCACUCUGCUGCCCAGGCUGGAGUGCAGUGUUGCGAUCUCAGCUCACUGCAGCCUCUGCCUCCCAGGUUCAAGCGAUUCUUCUGCCUCAGCCUCCUGAGUAGCUGGGAUUACAGGUGUGCACCACCAUGCUCAGCUAAUUUUUUGUAUUUUUAGUAGAGAUGGCGUUUCACCAUGUUGGCCAGGUUGGUCUCGAACUCCUGACCUCUGGUGAUUUGCCCACCUCGGCCUCCCAAAGUGCUGGGAUUACAGGCAUGAGCCACUGUGCCCGGCUCAUCUUCAUCAUUUUUAAGUGCACAGUUCAGUGACAUUUCUGCACUUACAAUGUUGUGCAGCUAUCGCCACCAUCCAUCUCCAGAACUUCUCAUCUUCCCAAACCAAAACUCUGUACCCAUUAAACACCAACUCCCCAUUCUCCCUGCCCCCAGGCCCUGGACACCCCUAUUCUGCUUUCUCUCUCUAUGCUUUUGACCAUUUUAGGUAGCUCACAAAGUGGGAUCAUACAAUAUUUGUCCUUUGUGUGUGGCUAUUCUCUUAGCAUAAUGUUUUUGCAGUUCAUCCUUGUUGCGGCGUGUGUCAGAAUAUCAUUUCUAUUUAUGGCUGAGUGGGUAUUCCAGUGUAUGCACCAUAUUCUGCUGAUCCAUUCCCCUGUUGAUGAACAUUGUGCUGCUUCUGCCUUUUUUCUGUUGUGACGAAUGCUGCUAUGAGCAUGGAUGUACAAGUACGUGUUUGGGUCCCUACUUUCAAUUAUUUUGGGCUUAUACACAGAAGUGGAAUGCUGGAUCGUAUUGUGGUGCUAUGUUUAACCUUUUGAGGAACUACCAAACUGUCUUCCACAACAGCUGCAAAAUUUUACAUUCCUACCAGCAAUGCGUAAGGGUUCCAGUUUCUCUACAUCCUUGCCCACACUUGUUAUUCACCCUCAUUCUCACCUAUUUUGCUAAGAGCCAUCCUAGUGGCUGUGAGGUGAUAUUUCACUGAUAUGCACUUCCCUAAUGACUAAUGUUGUUGAACGUCUUUUCAUGUGCUUAUUGGCCAUGUGUAUAUUUUCAGAGAAAUGUCUAUUCUAGUCUAUUCCAUUUUUGAAUUAAAUUUUGUUUUUGUUGUUGAGUUGUAGGAGUUAAAUGCAUGCAUUUAUAUUGUUUUCUUUUUGGUUUCCAAGUCAUACUAACAAAUUGUACUGUUAAGUUGAAAAUAAAAUGUGAAGAUUUAGCUCACGUACUCUUGAUAUUUCUUGAUAGUGUUGAAUACGGUGUUUAUAUAGUUAAUAGUUGCUUUAAAAAUGCCAUAUAAGUCUCAGCCUUCAUAUUUCUAGGAUUGAGAAGACAAGUGGUCAUGCCACUGAUACUCACACCUGGUACUUAAAAAAUGCCAUUCCCAAAGUGUUGGGAUUACAGGCAUGAGCCAUUGAACAUGGCAGAAUUUUUCAAUAGAAGUUAUGCUUUUCGGUAAAAGUUGCUUUGCCGGAGAAUAACACAGUGGUUUGGGCUAUCCUGCUUCAUGGCUGCAGCUGCUCCUCAGCUACCAUUGAGCUCCCACCUCCCUGCUCUUAACAGAGGAAGACAUAGGGAAAGAAAAGUAGAUAAAACCUAAAUAAGCUGCUUUCCCAGUUUGCUGUUGGCUGGGAUGAUAUCUUAUUACCUGCUGCACACCUUCAUUUGUCAGUCUCCUUUGAUUUGAGGAGGACAUUUUAGUGGGCAUGUGGUGUCUCCCUGUUAUGGGCUAAAUUGUGUUCUCCCUAAACUCAUAUGUGAUCAUAUUUGGAGACAGGGUCUUUACAGAGGUAAUCAGAUUAAAAUGAGGUCAUUAAGGUGUUCCUUGUUCCAGUAUGACUGGUGUCCAUAUCAGAAGAGGAGAUGAGGACACAGACACACAUAGAGGGAAGACCACAUGAAGACAGAGGGAGAAGAUGACCUCUACAAGCCAAGGAGAGGGGCCUCAGGCCAGCACAAGAGCACAGGGCAGGCACCUCUUCCUGCUCACUGGGGAGAGCCUGAAGUCUCCAGUGUGGUCACCUCUGAUGAGCUGUGUGCUUGGAAGGAGGGCAGGGGCAAGAAGGCCCAGAACAAGGAGUGAGUGCCACUGUGUCCUCAGGGACCUGGCUUCUGCUGGGCCCAGCUGGGCAGCUCUACUCUGUCACCAUCUCAGCUUCCCGUGGCUUGGCUGCUUCCUGUGCAUGAAGACACCAUCCCCACUAACCUGCCCCAAGGCAGGGCCUGUGUGUCGGUCGGAAUAUCUCUGUCUGUGGAUGCCAGGGAAAUGAAUGAAGGUGCUGAUACUCUGCACUCAGGCACUUCCAGUAACAUUACUGCAUCUAAAGCUGUUUGUUUCACUUUCAGAAGGUGAAUUCCACGAGGGCCCUCUGUCGUCUGCCCUACCCCCUGCACAUAGUUCCAUGCCUGGCAUUUCAGAAGUGUUUGUUAAUACUGAGUGUAGGAUAGGAAAAGGUUUGUAGUAUGGAUAAUAUAAAUAAUUGGUCUAAUGAGACUGAUGCUGAAUUCUGCUGUGCUACCUACUGUCCCAUCCCUCCGCAGGGCCUGUCUUGAGAUGCACCUUGUUUGCCCACGGGGGAAACGUGCUUUGGAAAGUGCUGGACACCAUGGCUGUGCAGGCCCAAGAAGGUGAUGUAUUUAGUGUGCUUCAAGAAAACUAACAUUUUCAGAGGGAGCAAGUUACUUAUUAUUGGUUACCCUUAAUAUAUACCAUCUAGAUUAAGCAUAUUUAUUUCCAAAUUGUUCGCUAAGGUACAGGUCCUUGCCUUAGUCAGUCUGAGCUGCUGUAACAAAUUACCAUAGACUGAGUUGUUCAUUAACAACAAAGUAUUUCUCAUGGUUCUGGAGGCUGGAAGUCUGAGGUCAGGGUGCCAGCAUGGUUGGGCUUCGGUGAGGGCUCUCGUCUUGGUUUACAGACAGCUAGACAGCUGUCUGUAUCCUCACAUGGCAGAGAGAGACAAAGGUUGCAAGCACUCUGCUGUCUCUUCUUAUAAGGGCACUAAUUCCAUCGCAAGGGCUCCACCCUCAUGACUAAUCAUUUCCCAAAGGCGCUGCCUCCUAAAAUCACAUUGGGUGUUAGGAUUUCAACAUAUGAAUUUGAGGGGGACUCAAACCUUCAGACCAUAACAGUUCAUGGCUAAGAUUAUAAAUGACCAAAGCCCAGUGUCACCAAUAAUCCAGCUCUAGAAAGUGUAGUAAUGGAAACGACUUCAUCCCCAUGAGAUGGAAACAGUUAGAAGGAUGAAUGACUCAAGCCUUGACAAGGAUAUGGAGAGACAGGGUGUUGCUAAUGGGAGUGCAACUGGUACAGUUAUUCUGGAAAACCAUCCGUUUCUUUGUGAACUCAAGUGUGCAUCUGUCUUCUGACCCAACAGUCCCACUCUUGAAGUUGCGCAAUGUGUAGCUUUUACAACUAUAAGCGGUGGCCCUGAUUCAAGACCACAGAAUGAGCCACUGGAACAUCUGGGAUGAGGACCUCCUGCUUGCCAGGUAGUUGAAAGACCUAUGUUCGUCAUAGCAACAGGGCCUGGAAAAGAGAAGAAAUACAGCCUUUGUAUUUCUGGGAUUGAGAAGGAAAGCAGUCAUGCCACUGAGAAUCUCUGGGUCUGGAAAGGGGGUUGGUCAUUGUGGAUUCCAUGAAGGCUCUGCCGGAAGAAUCUGGAAGGACUGAGUCUUCAGAGCCUCAGCCCUGGGAGGCGGAGUGACAGGGACCUAUACCGAUUGAGGACAGAGAGGAAAAGGUCCCUGCUGAGCAUUUCUCUUUUGAAAGACCCUCUGGCUGCAGCCUGGAUGAGCAAUGCUGACAGGUGAUUCGCAGUACUGGCUGGCAGUGUAAACCAAGUUAGCAAAAUAGAAGCAGCAGCCUGGGAGAAAACAGGGCUUGGAAGAAGACUGUGGUGGAGACUUCCAGGACUCCUAGAUGAUCCAGGAGGACAAGAAAGUGCAAGUUUGGGAUCCUGGAAUUCCUGCCAAUCUGCAGGUGGAGGCUUAAGCCAGUACUGAUUUAAUCUGAAACCUAACGUGAAUGAAACAGCUUGCACAGCGCAGCAAGCGGCAGGAGCAGUGUCUCCAUGCCAAGCUCACCAACAUGUCCAUUUCCUUACUGGGUGGUGACUGUCUCAAAAGGAGGAUCCACGUUUGGUUUUACUUUGUAUCACCAUGACUUGGCACAGGAUCUGGUACAUAGUAGUUCUCAGUAGACGCUAGCUGAGGGGCAAAUAAGGAAUGGUACAACGUGUGUGGACACAGGUUAACCUUAUGGAGGUCAGAAGAAGGCAGAGGGGAGCAAAUGGAGUCCCAGACAUCAAAGGAACGUCCCCAAAGCCCUCCCCACCCACCUCUCUCUUUCUCUCUAACAGUAGGGUUUACAAAGAGCAGCUUAUUCCGGG
RNAcentral lists this long non-coding RNA (5659 nucleotides) under Homo sapiens (human). RNAcentral's name for it is "non-protein coding lnc-WRNIP1-35:1". The record is from RNAcentral. Lineage: Eukaryota; Metazoa; Chordata; Mammalia; Primates; Hominidae.